This 813-nucleotide long non-coding RNA is filed under the name Brachypodium distachyon (stiff brome). RNAcentral describes it as "long non-coding RNA (BDIS_LNC004114)". The record is from RNAcentral. Lineage: Eukaryota; Viridiplantae; Streptophyta; Magnoliopsida; Poales; Poaceae.
CCAGCAAUUAACGCCAGCCACGAUGUACAUGUGGUUUAGGCCGGAUGAAGAACUAUAUGUACGUGUUUGAGGCACUAAAUAGGGUAAGAUGGAAAGAAGGUCAAUAAGACAUGAGAGGUGGGUGGACUAGAUUAGAAAAGGAGCAAAAUGGUCAAUGAAUUCAACUGAUGAAAGAAACAAACUCUCUUGGAGGCUGCAUUGUGAGAUGUGCAAGAUCAUCGAUCAACACUUAUCAUCUGGGAUAUGAACUAAUAUGCUCUCUAAAUAGAAGCACAAGAGUAGACGCGAUUGCUAUAUAACAGCGGAAAAGCUGAAUGCCCUUGGCUGGCGGCGUGUCAAACUCAACCGUGUAAUGGAGGAUCAUCCGUGACACACUCUCACGGACCAUCCCAAGUUUUUUUUUUUAAGUUAAACUGUAAGAGUUGCGUGAUUGCAGUCCGACACUAUAUAGAUAUAUAAUUUUUACAAAGUGAGACACAAAGUACGACCUUUGAGGAUCGAACUCUGGUGGGCUGCUAGCACACCUGGCUGGCUGACCACCCAAGCUAUGCUUGUUUCUCCAUCCGAAGUUCUUUGAAGCAGCGUGGUGGGGAUCGGAGACUAGUCCUGGAAGUUCGAACAACCGACUCGCUGAAAUCUUGAAAUUUUUUGAUGCCUCCCAUAUCUACACGUAUUGUUUUUGGAAACAAGUAAGCUGAAACUGGCUCGGAAUCUCACUUUUAUCUACAUGGCACAUUUGGGGCGUAAGGCAAAGGAACACUAUAUAUGGAUGAGAGUGACACAAUCCAAGUUUAUCUCACAGCUAUUUACUUG